CCUGGUGCUUCUAGCGAUAGGGAUACACCUGUUCCCAUCCCGAACACAGCAGUUAAGCCUAUCAGCGCUGAUGGUAGCCUUCGGGCAAGAGUAAGUCAGUGCCAGGA
Molecule: ribosomal RNA, 107 nt
Filed under: Gallionella sp.
Lineage: Bacteria; Pseudomonadati; Pseudomonadota; Betaproteobacteria; Nitrosomonadales; Gallionellaceae
Source: RNAcentral